Molecule: ribosomal RNA, 434 nt
Filed under: uncultured bacterium
Lineage: Bacteria
Description: bacterial SSU rRNA
Rfam family: Bacterial small subunit ribosomal RNA
Source: RNAcentral
AACGCGAAGAACCUUACCUACUCUUGACAUCCACGGAAUUCGGCAGAGAUGCCUUAGUGCCUUCGGGAACCGUGAGACAGGUGCUGCAUGGCUGUCGUCAGCUCGUGUUGUGAAAUGUUGGGUUAAGUCCCGCAACGAGCGCAACCCUUAUCCUUUGUUGCCAGCGAUUCGGUCGGGAACUCAAAGGAGACUGCCGGUGAUAAACCGGAGGAAGGUGGGGAUGACGUCAAGUCAUCAUGGCCCUUACGAGUAGGGCUACACACGUGCUACAAUGGCGCAUACAAAGAGAAGCGACCUCGCGAGAGCAAGCGGACCUCAUAAAGUGCGUCGUAGUCCGGAUCGGAGUCUGCAACUCGACUCCGUGAAGUCGGAAUCGCUAGUAAUCGUGGAUCAGAAUGCCACGGUGAAUACGUUCCCGGGCCUUGUACACACCG